Molecule: ribosomal RNA, 301 nt
Filed under: uncultured bacterium
Lineage: Bacteria
Description: partial 16S ribosomal RNA
Rfam family: Bacterial small subunit ribosomal RNA
Source: RNAcentral
CAGCAGCCGCGGGAAUACGAAGGGUGCAAGCGUUACUCGGAAUUACUGGGCGUAAAGCGUGCGUAGGUGGUGGUUUAAGUCCGUUGUGAAAGCCCUGGGCACAACCUGGGAAUUGCAGUGGAUACUGGAUCACUAGAGUGUGUAGAGGAUAGUGGAAUUUCCGGUGUAGCAGUGAAAUGCGUAGAGAUCGGAAGGAACAUCUGUGGCGAAGGCGACUAUCUGGGCCAACACUGACACUGAGGCACGAAAGCGUGGGGAGCAAACAGGAUUAGAUACCCCCGUAGUCCCUGUCUCUUAUACA